RNAcentral lists this unclassified non-coding RNA (2506 nucleotides) under Hevea brasiliensis (rubber tree). The record is from RNAcentral. Lineage: Eukaryota; Viridiplantae; Streptophyta; Magnoliopsida; Malpighiales; Euphorbiaceae.
CUCCCCCGCUCUCCCCUCGCCUCAUCCACAUCAUGGCCUCCUCCUCCUCCCUCACCGCCGCCCAGGCCGUCGUCGGCCGCCCCAUCACCCCAUCCACCCACUCCCACCACACUCAUCUCUCCCUCCGCCUCAGCUCACUCUCCGGCCCCGUCCUCCGCCUCCCUGCCGUCCGCUCAAGGGCGGCGCCGCCGCGCCGGGCUGGCGCUGUCCGCGCGGCGGCGGUGGAGGCGCUGGAGGGGACUGCGGCGACUGCGACGUUAGUGGAUAAGUCGGUGAAUACCAUCCGAUUCCUGGCGAUUGAUGCGGUGGAGAAAGCGAACUCAGGUCAUCCAGGGCUGCCCAUGGGCUGUGCGCCGAUGGGGCACAUACUGUAUGAUGAGGUGAUGCGGUACAACCCGAAGAAUCCUUAUUGGUUUAACAGGGAUCGGUUUGUACUGUCAGCUGGCCAUGGAUGUAUGCUGCAGUAUGCGCUCCUCCACCUCGCCGGCUACGACAGUGUCAAUGAGGAUGAUUUGAAGUCCUUCAGGCAGUGGGGAAGCCGAAGUCCCGGCCAUCCUGAGAACUUUGAAACUCCCGGCAUUGAAGUCACUACUGGGCCUUUGGGUCAGGGUAUCGCCAAUGCUGUUGGACUGGCACUUGCCGAGAAGCAUCUAGCUGCCCGUUUCAAUAAACCCGAUAGCGAGAUUGUUGACCAUUACACGUAUUGCAUACUUGGAGAUGGAUGCCAUAUGGAGGGCAUAUCGAAUGAAGCAUGUUCUCUUGCUGGCCAUUGGGGUCUUGGUAAAUUGAUUGCAUUCUAUGAUGAUAACCAUAUCUCGAUUGAUGGAGACACCGCUAUUGCUUUCACUGAGGACGUGAAUGCCCGUUUUGAUGCUCUUGGGUGGCACACUCUCUGGGUGAAGAAUGGUAACACAGGCUAUGAUGAGAUUCGUGCUGCAAUCAAGGAAGCAAAGUCUGUGAAAGACAAACCAACAAUGAUCAAGGUGACUACUACCAUUGGUUAUGGAUCGCCUAACAAGGCAAACUCGUACAGCGUACACGGGAGUGCAUUGGGUGCAAAGGAAGUUGAUGCAACCAGGCAGAAUCUUGGGUGGCCUUAUGAGCCCUUCCACGUUCCUGAAGAUGUGAAGAGUCAUUGGAGCCGCCAUGGCCCAGAAGGUGCUGCGCUAGAAGCUGCGUGGAAUGCGAAGUUUGCUGAGUAUGAGAAGAAAUAUAAAGAGGAGGCUGCUGAAUUGAAAAGUAUCAUUACCGGGGAAUUACCAGCGGGAUGGGAAAAGGCUCUUCCGGUGUAUACUCCUGAAAGUCCCGGAGAUGCUACUAGGAAUUUAUCCCAGCAGUGCUUGAAUGCGCUUGCGCCCGUACUACCUGGACUUAUUGGAGGAAGUGCUGAUCUUGCAUCCUCCAACAUGACAUUGCUCAAAAUGUUUGGAGAUUUCCAAAAGGAUACACCCGAGGAGAGGAAUGUCCGUUUUGGUGUCAGAGAACAUGGAAUGGGCGCCAUCUGUAAUGGUAUCGCCCUCCAUAGCCCUGGCUUUGUCCCCUAUUGUGCCACUUUCUUUGUUUUCACGGACUACAUGAGAGGUGCGAUAAGGAUCUCAGCCUUGAGCGAAGCAGGUGUAAUCUAUGUGAUGACACAUGAUUCCAUUGGUCUUGGAGAAGAUGGGCCGACCCAUCAACCGAUUGAGCAUCUAGUUAGCUUCCGAGCAAUGCCCAAUAUCUUGAUGAUCCGGCCAGGUGAUGGGAAUGAGACUGCUGGUGCGUACAAGGUUGCGGUGGUCAACAGGAGCCCCACACCCCGGGAGAGAGUCCAAGCUUGCUUCAAUGGCGAUCUACCUCCGAUCCCUCGCCGCCGCCGUCCUCCUCCUCGGCCUUGCCGCCGACGCCGAGUCCAUGUCCGACUCCUCAGCACUGGAAUCCGUUGCCACGUCCGUCCACGACGUCCUCCCCCAGUACGGCCUCCCCAAGGGCCUCCUUCCCAAAUCCGUGAAGAGUUACUCCCUCAGCGGCAACGGCGAGUUCGAGAUCGAACUCUCCGCCCCCUGCUACGUCCAGUUCUCCGAUCUCGUCUACUAUGAGCGCCACAUCAAAGGGAAGCUCUCUUAUGGCUCGAUCUCCGAUCUGUCCGGCAUCAAGGCUAAGAAGCUCUUCGUCUGGGUGCCGAUUACCGGCAUCGUCGCACAUCCGGCCGACUCCACCGUCGUUUUCGAGGUUGGAUUUCUGUCGGAGUCUCUUCCUGUAUCACAGUUUGCUGAGAUUCCAGUCUGCAAGGCCAAGGUUGGGUGCCGCGGGUCUGCUGGGAUCAUUAACGAGAAGCUGCCGAUCUCUGAGGUUUAAGCUGGAUAAAUCUCCCAAGUUAAGAUGCGAACCCGCAUCAGUGAUCAGGGUUAUUGGGGAGAGUAUGUUUCAACGUUCAAAUAAUGAUUUAUGUAGAGAAUUCGUGUAUAAUUAAAUGGCAAUGUUAUCUGGUUGUAAACUUUAUCUGUUUUUAUAAUAGUAAGUGUCCUUG